CCUACGGGAGGCUGCAGUGGGGAAUAUUGGACAAUGGGGGGAACCCUGAUCCAGCCAUGCCGCGUGUGUGAAGAAGGCCCUCGGGUUGUAAAGCACUUUCAGUGAGGAAGAACGCCUGGUGGUUAAUACCCAUCAGGAAAGACAUCACUCACAGAAGAAGCACCGGCUAACUCCGUGCCAGCAGCCGCGGUAAUACGGAGGGUGCGAGCGUUAAUCGGAAUUACUGGGCGUAAAGCGCGCGUAGGUGGCUUGAUAAGCCGGUUGUGAAAGCCCCGGGCUCAACCUGGGAACGGCAUCCGGAACUGUCAAGCUAGAGUGCAGGGGAGGAAGGUAGAAUUCCCGGUUUAGCGGUGAAAUGCGUAGAGAUCGGGAGGAAUACCAGUGGCGAAGGCGGCCUUCUGGACUGACACUGACACUGAGGUGCGAAAGCGUGGGUAGCAAACAGGAUUAGAUACCCUGGUAGUC
Molecule: ribosomal RNA, 465 nt
Filed under: Vreelandella stevensii
Lineage: Bacteria; Pseudomonadati; Pseudomonadota; Gammaproteobacteria; Oceanospirillales; Halomonadaceae
Description: partial 16S ribosomal RNA
Rfam family: Bacterial small subunit ribosomal RNA
Source: RNAcentral